UGGCGGCAGGCCUAACACAUGCAAGUCGAGCGAGACCUUCGGGUCUAGCGGCGGACGGGUGAGUAACGCGUGGGAACGUGCCCUUCUCUACGGAAUAGUCCCGGGAAACUGGGUUUAAUACCGUAUACGCCCUUCGGGGGAAAGAUUUAUCGGAGAAGGAUCGGCCCGCGUUGGAUUAGGUAGUUGGUGGGGUAAUGGUCUACCAAGCCGACGAUCCAUAUCUGGUUUGAGAGGAUGAUCAGCCACACUGGGACUGAGACACGGCCCAGACUCCUACGGGAGGCAGCAGUGGGGAAUCUUACACAAUGGGGGAAACCCUGAUCUAGCCAUGCCGUGUGAGUGAUGAA
This 347-nucleotide ribosomal RNA is filed under the name uncultured Paracoccus sp. RNAcentral's name for it is "bacterial SSU rRNA". It matches the Rfam family "Bacterial small subunit ribosomal RNA", at positions 37 to 412 of the family's 1533-position model. Lineage: Bacteria; Pseudomonadati; Pseudomonadota; Alphaproteobacteria; Rhodobacterales; Paracoccaceae. The record is from RNAcentral.